UGGUGGGUAGUUUGACUGGGGCGGUCUCCUCCCAAAGCGUAACGGAGGAGCACGAAGGUUAGCUAAUCCUGGUCGGACAUCAGGAGGUUAGUGCAAUGGCAUAAGCUAGCUUGACUGCGAGCGUGACGGCGCGAGCAGGUGCGAAAGCAGGUCAUAGUGAUCCGGUGGUUCUGAAUGGAAGGGCCAUCGCUCAACGGAUAAAAGGUACUCCGGGGAUAACAGGCUGAUACCGCCCAAGAGUUCAUAUCGACGGCGGUGUUUGGCACCUCGAUGUCGGCUCAUC
Molecule: ribosomal RNA, 283 nt
Filed under: Klebsiella pneumoniae
Lineage: Bacteria; Pseudomonadati; Pseudomonadota; Gammaproteobacteria; Enterobacterales; Enterobacteriaceae
Description: partial 23S ribosomal RNA
Rfam family: Bacterial large subunit ribosomal RNA
Source: RNAcentral